Vespa crabro (European hornet) is the source of this 994-nucleotide long non-coding RNA. RefSeq lists it as uncharacterized. The record is from RefSeq and is a predicted model, not a curated record. NCBI's taxonomy places the organism in Eukaryota, Metazoa, Arthropoda, Insecta, Hymenoptera, Vespidae. The transcript has 2 exons.
UAUUAACUUGAUAAUUAUUAUACCCCUGAGAGGAGGUGAAUUUAAAUGAAAAAAUAAAUAGAAAAUGUAGAAUAACAUUUUUUCGUACAAGGAUUUUUGCGGAUAAAUUUAUAAUUUACAAUUCAGUUUUGUCAUAAUGUCGAUAUGGUUACAUACACAAUGGAAGACAAAAGUAUUUACAUAUAGUACAUAAAAUAGAAAUAUGGAAAUAAAAAUUAUUAUAUUUUUUAUACAUUAUUAAUUAUAUUGAUAUAUAUGUGAUUGUAUAUUGUAUUCUAACAUUAGUAAUAACAAUUAUGAAAAAAAAAAUAAAAGUUAACAACGCAAUUGUAAAAAGAAGUCAUUCAACAGUACAAAGUAUAGUGAAGAAAUUUAAUAAAGCAGGAAUAUUACAAGACAAAAAAAAGUGGUCGACCAAGAAAAUUGUCAUUGAAAGAAAAAUGAAUAAUUGUUCAAAUUAUUAAAAAUAAAGCAGACAUAAGUGCAGGAAAACAGGCAUAAGUGCAUCUGAAAUUGCAUCUGAAAUUCAAAAAUAUAGUCACACAGACCAGCCGGAAACCAUUCGACGAGUGCUCCAUCGAGCAGUGUAUAAAUUUAGAGUAACUAGGAAGAAACCAUUACUAAGUAAAGUAAAUAAACAAAAAAUAUUAAAAUUUUCUAAAAAAUAUAUAAAUAUUGAAACUGACUACUAGGAUAAUCGAGAGUAUACCGACAUGAUCCUCGUGUUAAGUGUAAAUGCAGGCAAUGCAUUUAUGACUACUGAAUACUAUAAAGAUCGUUAUCAAAAUCAUCGAUAUCCAGAUUGUAAAGUCAUUCAAAGAACUGAUCAAAUACGUGAGGAAAAUGGAUCUUUUAAAACACUUUGUUGGCACAGAAAAUUUCUAGAGAUAAAAACAAAUAUAGAGGAACAAGUUUUGUAAAAUAUAAAAAAUAACUCUAAUAUUAGUAUAAAAUUGUAUCUUAACUGCAUCUCAAUAUAAUGUUUGUAUAAAAA